GACGAACGCUGGCGGCGUGCUUUACACAUGCAAGUCGAACGAGUGGCGAACGGGUGAGUAACCCGUGGGUGACCUCCCCUGCACUUCGGGAUACGCCUGGGAAACUGGGUCUAAUACAGGAUAGUGUGGGAUGGGCCCGCGGUCUAUCAGCUUGUUGGUGGGGUAAUGGCGCCCAAGGCGCGACGGGUAGCCGGCCUGAGAGGGGGGACGGCCACACUGGGAGUGAGACACGGCCCAGACUCCUACGGGAGGCAGCAGUGGGGAAUAUUGCGCAAUGGGCGCAAGCCUGAGGCAGCAACGCCGCGUGUAUGAAGAAGGCCUUAGGGUGGUAAAGCACUUUCAGCGGGGAGGCGUUACCCACAGAAGAAGCACCGGCUAACUCCGUGCCAGCAGCCGCGGUAAUAC
RNAcentral lists this ribosomal RNA (405 nucleotides) under uncultured bacterium. RNAcentral describes it as "partial 16S ribosomal RNA". It matches the Rfam family "Bacterial small subunit ribosomal RNA", at positions 28 to 526 of the family's 1533-position model. The record is from RNAcentral.